GCGCGAAACCUCCACAAUGUGGGAAACCACGAUGGGGGAACUCCAAGUGGAUGCACUUUGUGUAUUCUGUUCUCGAGCCUAAAAAGCUCGAGAAGUAAGGGCCGGGUAAGACGGGUGCCAGCCGCCGCGGUAAUACCCGCGGCCCGAGUGGUGCUCAUUAUUAUUGAGUCUAAAGCGUCCGUAGCCGGCCGGGUAAAUCUCUGGGUAAAUCGGGCGGCUCAACCGUCCGAAUUCCAGAGACACUGCCCGGCUUGGGAUCGGGAGAGGGUGAUGGUACUCCUUGGGUAGGGGUAAAAUCCUGUAAUCCGAGGGGGACCACCAGUGGCGAAGGCGAUCACCUAGAACGAAUCCGACGGUGAGGGACGAAGCCCUAGGGCGCAAACGGG
RNAcentral lists this ribosomal RNA (386 nucleotides) under uncultured euryarchaeote. Its description in RNAcentral is "bacterial SSU rRNA". It matches the Rfam family "Archaeal small subunit ribosomal RNA", at positions 339 to 727 of the family's 1478-position model. The record is from RNAcentral. RNAcentral also lists the same sequence under 1 other name. Lineage: Archaea; Methanobacteriati; Methanobacteriota.